UCAUUUUUGCAAUUUCUGAAAUUGUAGUUUUAACAAUUGCAUAGUUGCAAAAGUGAUC
RNAcentral lists this microRNA precursor (58 nucleotides) under Blattella germanica (German cockroach). RNAcentral's name for it is "Bge-Mir-153-P16_pre stem-loop". The record is from RNAcentral. Lineage: Eukaryota; Metazoa; Arthropoda; Insecta; Blattodea; Blattellidae.